Small nuclear RNA from Zalophus californianus (California sea lion), 198 nucleotides. Its record names the gene U2. It matches the Rfam family "U2 spliceosomal RNA". Rfam says of the family: U2 is a small nuclear RNA (snRNA) component of the spliceosome (involved in pre-mRNA splicing). Complementary binding between U2 snRNA (in an area lying towards the 5' end but 3' to hairpin I) and the branchpoint sequence (BPS) of the intron results the bulging out of an unpaired adenosine, on the BPS, which initiates a nucleophilic attack at the intronic 5' splice site, thus starting the first of two transesterification reactions that mediate splicing. Lineage: Eukaryota; Metazoa; Chordata; Mammalia; Carnivora; Otariidae. The record is from Ensembl.
AUCGCUUCUCGGCCUCUUGGCUAAGAUCAAGUGUAGUAUCUGUUCUUAUCAGUUUAAUAAUUUUUUACUGCUAAGUGAAGGAUAUUCUUAAUUGGAACUGGCCUUUUUUUUUUUUUUAAGGGUGAGUUUGUGACAGUGAAGAAUAUACUGCCUGGGAGAUCAGUUUUAUCUCACUGUCUUGAUUCCUUCCAAGACCAG